AAACUCAUAAAAAAACAAUUUAAAAUCGAUUAAAAGAAAAUGCAAAAAAAAGUAGAAUAAAAACAAAAAAUAAAAAAAUGCACAAAAGUGAGAAAUUAUGGGAGGCAUGGGUUGAACCCAAGUCAUGGGGUUGGGAGGCGUGAGCCUCAACCACUUAACCAUGACCUUCAAUAUGUCAAGGCAUGGACACGAAAAAUAUAUAUAAGAAAAACAUUAUAAAAUGGAAAAGAAUGGAAAAUAGCUCAAAAAAAG
RNAcentral lists this long non-coding RNA (252 nucleotides) under Lathyrus oleraceus (garden pea). RNAcentral's name for it is "Pisum sativum (pea) long non-coding RNA (PSAT_LNC031438)". Lineage: Eukaryota; Viridiplantae; Streptophyta; Magnoliopsida; Fabales; Fabaceae. The record is from RNAcentral.